RNAcentral lists this ribosomal RNA (538 nucleotides) under Metanachis laingensis. Its description in RNAcentral is "partial small subunit ribosomal RNA". Lineage: Eukaryota; Metazoa; Mollusca; Gastropoda; Neogastropoda; Columbellidae. The record is from RNAcentral.
CACCAAAAGAUAAAAUUAUAUAAGUAGGUAAAAAGAUAGUUAGGUAAAUGUUAAGUUAUGGAAAUUUUAUAGAAAAGUAAAAUUUGAAUAUAAAAUUCUACAAUGAUUAAGACUAAAAAGCUGAAGCUAUGAAAAUUUUGAGGGAAACUGGGAUUAGAUACCCCAUUAUUCAUAAUUAUAAAUAAAAAUAUUUACCAGAGUACUAUGAAUCUUAUAUAAUUUAAAACUCAAAGGGCUUGGCGGUGUUUUAGACCAAUUAGGGGAACCUGUCUCGUAAUCGACAGUCCACGAUAAACCUAACCUUUUUUGGUGUUCAGUUUGUAUACCGUCGUCGUCAGGUAAUUUUUAAAAAUUAAGAAGUUGGCAAAAUAAUAAGUAUAAGUUAAAACGUCAGAUCAAGGUGCAGCUUAUAUAAAGGUGAGGAUGGGUUACAAUUAUUAAAUAAUAAAUAUGGAUAGUAUAAUGGAAAAAGCUUAAAGGAGGACUUAAAAGUAAUAAUGGAAUAUAAAAAUAAAAUGAAUAAGGCUCUGAAACGUGC